UACAGAGGUCUCAAGCGUUGUUUCGGAUUCAUUGGGCGUAAAGGGUGCGUAGGCGGCGCGGUAAGUCGGGUGUGAAAUCUUGGAGCUUAACUCCGAAACUGCAUUCGAUACUGCCGUGCUUGAGGACUGGAGAGGAGACUGGAAUUUACGGUGUAGCGGUGAAAUGCGUAGAUAUCGUAAGGAAGACCAGUGGCGAAGGCGGGGUCUCUGGACAGUUCCUGACGCUGAGGCACGAAGGCCAGGGGGAGCAAACGGG
This 256-nucleotide ribosomal RNA is filed under the name uncultured bacterium. Its description in RNAcentral is "partial 16S ribosomal RNA". It matches the Rfam family "Bacterial small subunit ribosomal RNA", at positions 524 to 776 of the family's 1533-position model. The record is from RNAcentral.